UCUGGGUUUUUAUUUUAGGAUACAUAAAGAGGAUGCUUCAUAGACAACAAUAAUUAAGAGAUCUGCAAUAACCUUUAACCUCACGGAACAAUGUAAACAAACAUAGCAAUGAUUCUACUGUUGUUAAGGGUUAACAGGAAAUCAGCUCUCUCUCUAUACAAUACUGAUUGGGCUGGUUAACAAGACAGGUAUCAUCAUCACUGUCAUCAUCAUCAUCACUGUCAUCAUCAUCACCGUCAUCAUCAUCACCGUCAUCAUCAUCAUCAUCAUCGUCAUCAUCACUGUCAUCAUCAUCAUCACUGUCAUCGUCAUCAUCAUCAUCAUCAUCACUGUCAUCAUCAUCACUGUCAUCAUCAUCAUCACUGUCAUCAUCAUCAUCAUCAUCACUGUCAUCAUCAUCAUCACUGUCAUCACUAUCAUCAUCAUCACUGUCAUCACUGUCAUCAUCAUCAUCAUCAUGGCCAUAUUAUAAAGCUUCUACAGUGCUGAUGCUGAAGCCGUCUCCUUGGUGCUACUGCUGCUAUCUCAACCUGUUCAUAACAUUUAAAAACAACAACAGGCAUUCAGAACCACGUCGACACCUUGUGCUGUACAUCAAUAAUGAGUCCAGUCGUUUCAGGAGGAAACCGGAUGAAUAUGGCAAGAUGCACUCUAAUACGACUACGUCCCAAACAAGUCAACGAAUAUAAUACAUCUUUUUAUAUUAGCGGUCCUGACUGCAAAAAAAACCUGCCUUCAAUUUAAACAUGGGUAUAUCUGUAGGUAAGUAUGGUUAUGUGUUAAUAAGUAGGGGUUUAAAAUAGACGGUUAGCCCUGACGUACAGAGAGUCUGGAACCCAGUUCUCCAUUCCUUCAACCCCAAAGGAAGUUCAGGAACAACAACAUGCAGACACCCUACAUCAUCUAAUAUAAUAUUCUUCCUUCACAAAAUCCCAAAUGUCUGACUUGGAUUUAUCUCAACCCCAAAAAAGGAAACAUAAUUGUUCUGUUUAAAAAGAGCUAGGACACUCAGAGGACAUCUCAAGGGUCAGGGGUUAAAAAUCGGUGUGCGGCGGCCAUUUUGUAUCACUACAACAUGGUUUAGGUUAGCUUGCUGAUAACCACUCCUGUUAGGUGUGUUUGUCCUGAAAUAUCUCACUGUGCCUUCCUCUGUUAGGGAGUUGGAGGGUUUGUGUGAUAUGACCUAAAAUAUGACUAUGUUUUGUGCUUGUGCCUUUUUGCAGGCGUAUCAUUAGGACAUUACUGGGACAUGAGGAAUGCUAGGACUGCUACAUGAGCAAUGGGACAAAUUCAAGUGUGUGUGUUUGAGUAUGUGUUAAAGGGAUACUUCGGGAUUGUGGCAGUGAGGCCCUUUAUCUACUUUCCCCAGAGUCAGAUAAACUCCUGGAUACCAGUUUUAUGUCUCUGUGUCCAGGUUGAAGGAAGUUAGAGGUAGUUUCACGAGCCAACGUUUCC
This is a long non-coding RNA of Oncorhynchus tshawytscha (Chinook salmon), 1455 nucleotides long. Lineage: Eukaryota; Metazoa; Chordata; Actinopteri; Salmoniformes; Salmonidae. The record is from Ensembl.